This 253-nucleotide ribosomal RNA is filed under the name uncultured bacterium. RNAcentral describes it as "partial 16S ribosomal RNA". It matches the Rfam family "Bacterial small subunit ribosomal RNA", at positions 524 to 776 of the family's 1533-position model. The record is from RNAcentral.
UACGUAGGUGGCAAGCGUUGUCCGGAAUUAUUGGGCGUAAAGCGCGCGCAGGCGGUUUCUUAAGUCUGAUGUGAAAGCCCACGGCUCAACCGUGGAGGGUCAUUGGAAACUGGGAAACUUGAGUGCAGAAGAGGAAAGCGGAAUUCCACGUGUAGCGGUGAAAUGCGUAGAGAUGUGGAGGAACACCAGUGGCGAAGGCGGCUUUCUGGUCUGUAACUGACGCUGAGGCACGAAAGCGUGGGUAGCAAACAGG